RNAcentral lists this ribosomal RNA (305 nucleotides) under uncultured bacterium. RNAcentral's name for it is "partial 16S ribosomal RNA". It matches the Rfam family "Bacterial small subunit ribosomal RNA", at positions 505 to 807 of the family's 1533-position model. The record is from RNAcentral.
ACAGCAGUAGCCACGGUAACACGGAGGGUGCAAGCGUUAAUCGGAAUUACUGGGCGUAAAGCGCACGCAGGCGGUCUGACAAGUCAGAUGUGAAAUCCCCGGGCUUAACCUGGGAACUGCAUUUGAAACUGUCAGGCUGGAGUCUUGUAGAGGGGGGUGGAAUUCCAGGUGUAGCGGUGAAAUGCGUAGAGAUCUGGAGGAAUACCGGUGGCGAAGGCGGCCCCCUGGACAAAGACUGACGCUCAGGUGCGAAAGCGUGGGGAGCAAACAGGAUUAGAUACCCCGGUAGUCCCUGUCUCUUAUAC